Molecule: ribosomal RNA, 494 nt
Filed under: uncultured bacterium
Lineage: Bacteria
Description: partial 16S ribosomal RNA
Rfam family: Bacterial small subunit ribosomal RNA
Source: RNAcentral
GACGAACGCUGGCGGCGUGCUUAACACAUGCAAGUCGAACGGAAAGGCCUGCUUUCCCUUGUGGAUUGCGGGUACUCGAGUGGCGAACGGGUGAGUAACACGUGAGUGAUCUGCCCCCAACUUGGGUAUAAGCCUGGGAAACUGGGUCUAAUUCCCGAUGGUACUGCAGGGUGGUGCCUGUGGUGGAACACGACUUUCUAGUGGGUGGGGAUGAGCGCGCGGCCUAUCAGCUUGUUGGUGGGGUAAUGGACUACCAAGGCGGCGACGGGUAGCCGGCCUGAGAGGGUGGACGGUCACAUUGGGACUGAGAUACGGCCCCGACUCCUACGGGCGGCAGCAGUGGGGAAUAUUGGACAAUAGGCGGAAGCCUGAUGCAGCGACGCGGCGUGGGGGAUGACGGCCUUCGGGUUGUAAACUCCUUUCGACCGCGAGGAAGCCACCUGGUUGGAAGGGUGGUGACGGUAGUGGUAGAAGAAGCACCGGCUAACUACGUG